UCUACAGAGUUUGGAGUUUUUCAAGAAACUUUAUGAAUAUCUUCUUUUAUUCUCACAACAUUCCUAUCAUCCUCAUUUUACAGAUGAGGGAUCUGAGGCAGCCAGAAGCUAAGUGACUUGUCCAGGGUCACACAGUUAAUAAGGGUCUUUGGAGGGAUUUGAAAUCUCUUCUUGACUUGAGGUCCAGUACCACGUAGCUGCUAAGCACUGAGGAUCCAAAGAAAAGCAAAAAUGCAAAAAACAGUCUCUGCCCUCAAGGAGCUUGUAUGAAAAACCUCCAGAUUCAUAGUAUCCUUCUCAGAAGACCAGGGCUGGGAAUGCUGUAUGGAGGGGACAGAAGUAGCCCACCAUUAUUCACAUCGGCCUCAUGCAGAGACUACCCUAAGGAAGCAAGGUCCCUUCCAUUCCUCAUCAGAAAACAGUGGAAUAAGCCCAGGCUUCAUGGUCAUUUUAUAGAUGAGGAAACUGAGGCAAAGGUCUUUUUGGAAGGAAAGUCUUUUUGUCUAAUCCCUUCAUUUUGUAGAGGGAUACUGAGGCUCAGAGAUGAAAUGACUUGCCCAAGGUCGCCUCAUUGGUGGCAGUAG
Molecule: long non-coding RNA, 584 nt
Filed under: Monodelphis domestica (gray short-tailed opossum)
Lineage: Eukaryota; Metazoa; Chordata; Mammalia; Didelphimorphia; Didelphidae
Description: lncRNA (ENSMODG00000031729.2)
Source: RNAcentral